RNAcentral lists this ribosomal RNA (253 nucleotides) under uncultured bacterium. Its description in RNAcentral is "partial 16S ribosomal RNA". It matches the Rfam family "Bacterial small subunit ribosomal RNA", at positions 524 to 776 of the family's 1533-position model. The record is from RNAcentral.
UACGUAGGGGGCAAGCGUUGUCCGGAAUCAUUGGGCGUAAAGCGCGUGUAGGCGGCCCAGUAAGUCCGCUGUGAAAGCCCAGGGCUCAACCCUGGGAUGCCGGUGGAUACUGGAAGGCUUGAAUCCGGGAGAGGGAUGCGGAAUUCCAGGUGUAGCGGUGAAAUGCGUAGAUAUCUGGAGGAACACCGGUGGCGAAGGCGGCAUCCUGGACCGGUAUUGACGCUGAGGCGCGAAAGCCAGGGGAGCAAACGGG